This is a long non-coding RNA of Dendroctonus ponderosae (mountain pine beetle), 612 nucleotides long. RefSeq lists it as uncharacterized. The record is from RefSeq and is a predicted model, not a curated record. The transcript is spliced from 2 exons. NCBI's taxonomy places the organism in Eukaryota, Metazoa, Arthropoda, Insecta, Coleoptera, Curculionidae.
UUGACAUUUGUUUUUAUUUGUUAAAACACGUCAAAAGUAAUACAACUUUUUGACGAUGUGUUUAAAAAGGCGGUUUUACUGACAAGAAAGUCUUAAAUAGUAGUACGAGGUUUGUUUUAUAGUUUUUUGAAAAUAGUCUGUGCUAAAUUCGUCAUGACAAGAGGAAUUUCAAUUUGAAAAAACUUGAAGCAAAUAAUGACCUUGGUACAGUGUAUCUUAAAUAAUUUUACCCUAUAAUAAGAGAAGACAUUUAGACAAGUUACCAAAAUCGGAAGGGCCAAAAAAGAACAACAGUAUUGAUCGACAGACGCGUUUAACACGCGUUUGGUUUAGAAACAGUUCAGAAAAGAUUGGUAGCAACAAAGCUAUUUAGCAGACGACCAGCUAAAAAACCGUUCAUUUUGGGAAUAAAUAGAGCAGCAAGAUUUGGAUACGCCCGACGUCAUUUAAACUGACCAGUCAACGACUGGAAAAAAGUUCUAUUUACUGAUGAAACAAGAUAGAAACGAUUUAUAAUGUAGUUAUGACGGGAUGAGACGUGUGAGGCGACCAAUCGACACAAUGUUUAAACCCAAAUAUGUAACUAUUAUUAAACAUGGGAAAGGAAGUGUU